ACUUUAGCUUAAUUAAUUUCAUAACAUUUCAGUCAUUUCUCAAAAGUGAAUGAAAAAAAAUGAUUGAAUUGUUUGAUUGAAAAUAUGAUCUUGCAUUGCAGAAGAACACGGGGAUAGAUCACAGCCAGGAAGACCAGGAAAUUAAAAAACAGGCCACACAGCUUGAUCAGUCAUCUUUUUAUAGUUUCUCUGAUCAUCCAAAGCAGUCUUAGACCAACUACUUGGAAGGUUCGUUGCAACCAAGAAGGAAAUUCUUGAAAGUUGGAAGAUUCCAAGUUGUGCCUUUAGGUUCACAGCUGUACUAGUAAUGCAGAAGUCUGUACUCUGUUCAACACUUGAAGGACAAAGAAGAUCAACGUAACACCACUCUCCUUGCAAAUCAUUUUAUUUUAUUUAUUGUCACAUUUGUCCUCUAUGAUUAUUUUGCACUUGAACCUUGACCUUUAGGAGACAAGCACCAAUCUGUUUGUGGAAUUACUCUGCAUAAAUAGGAGUUGCAGAUUAGUCCUGUAAUGAAAUCAACCAGUCUGGUCAAUUCCGCUCAAGAAUAAUUUUCAAAAGUUUAAAUUAUAACUGCUUUAAAUUUGGGAACCAAGCACAUUCUAUGAACAGACUGUAGGAGUACUUGUGUAGUAAGUUCAAACGUCUAUAUGUGAAGCAAUCCCGUCUAUUUCAUUUUAAAUAGAGAUACAUUUAAUAAUCUCUGGUUAUUGUUUCAUGAUAGUUUUGGAGGCAAAAUUAAUCUAAGACCCUCUCCUUUCCACCUUCAGAUGAUUGUUCCCAUUUUCAUAUUACAUGCUUCUAUUUGAUCCAACUGAUACCACUGUUCUUAUAGCUGUGCUUUAAUUUGGAUAACUUAAAUGAUCAAGGUUAAAAAUAACUCCAAUCUGAAAAUAAACAAACAAACAAAAAAUCUUUUAAACUCCCU
This 928-nucleotide long non-coding RNA is filed under the name Anas platyrhynchos platyrhynchos (common mallard). RNAcentral describes it as "lncRNA (ENSAPLG00000019939.1)". Lineage: Eukaryota; Metazoa; Chordata; Aves; Anseriformes; Anatidae. The record is from RNAcentral.